AUACCCCAAAAUUUAAACAUUACCAUCAGUUCAUGAUCACUAAAUCCAGGAAGAAACAAUGGUCAAUACAUACAGGAAUCGUUUUUUUUUUUUUUUUUGUACUUUUUCUCUUACCGUUGUCGUAAAUACAAAUCGAGUAAGGCCAGACUAUUGUUGGAAUGAAAUUGAAUAGGAACCAGUAUUUGGGUCUUUGACAGCCUUGAAGUUGUCCACACUCAUACCAAAACGACCCAACAAAGAAUUGCCCAUGUCUUUCAACUUUCCUGCUCGAACAAAAAAUAUGGCAUUGCAAAUUAUAAAAAUACGGAACGAAUUAUCGACUUAGAUGACGAAGUAAUUGACAAUAUCCAAUGUGUAUUUAGCAUUUAGAUUCAUCUGUUGGCCGAUGUGCAAACUAUGUGUAGGGUCAAAUGCAGUAGCAUGUCACUCAAAGGCGGGGCGAGGAAAGGGGAGCAAUGUGGUAAUUGACCAAAAUAAUAUACAUGGAAGAAAUAGGCUUUGAAGUUUUUUCUUGAAAUUUUUUUGUAGGUAAUAAAGUUAGAACGUAAAAUCUUGCCCCUCCUAACAAAAAUUUGUUAGCCUCUGGUUCAGUUCUUUGUUAGUGCAUUGCAAUGUCCAUCAAGAAAUUACGGCAUUACUUUGCAUGCACGUGGCUAAAUUUCCAAUGAUAGGGGAAGCAAGUUCUAGAACAAAGAUGAAUGAAAUAUGAUACAGAAAAAUAGUUUUAAAACAGUAAAAGGCCUACCGAUCAUCUCUUCUUUCAUCUUUUCUCGUUUUUGUUCGGCUAGAGGUUCAAGGCGACGGAUAGUCUUCUUAGCUUGGUCAUUUGAUGAAUCCAAUUCCAAUAUCUUUUUCAUAUCUGCAAGCAAAUAAAAUAUAGAUGACCUCAUGAGUUAAUAAAUAAAAAUAACUUGUAAGCAAAGCAAAGCAAAGUUUACCAUUAAUGGCCUCCUCAAAAUGUUCAAGCUUCUCGUGAGCCUCUCCUCUUCUAGACAAAGCUUUGACAUAUGCAGGAUUCAGCUCAAUUGCCUUGGAGCAUGCUUUGAUAGUGUCAGCAUAUUUUUCCUUGGAAAAAAUUAUGACCAAGAAAAUCAGUACGCAAUGCAAACAUAAAGUAUACUGUUGAAGAGAGAAAAAAGAUAUGUGGAAUUAAAGCAAAACCUCACAAUAACUACCUAGUUUCAAUCCAUCCAACUCAAUUUAGAAGUCUUUUCGUUCAUUCUAUGAAAUGUUUUUUCAAUUGAAAAAGAGAAGCAAUCAGACCAAAAUAAUGUUUGACGAACAAAUUAAGUUCAAAAGACAACCUUUUUCUUUAUGAGGUAACUAAAAAUGAAACCAGAGAAUGUUAAGUAAUCAUGGCUCAGAUGCUGUCUGUUAUCUUCCUAAUUUGACUAUUCCAUCGACAAUAUCGAUGUGAAGAUUGAUAUAACAGCUUAAAAGACACCAACAAGUGUGUGCAUAAUGGACAACCUCGUCAUUUGUGGUGAGGUAAGCUUAAUUCCACAGGUUCAUGCACAAGCCAAAAAAGAAAAAAAUUUGAUGCAUACACUCUGAAGUAGGCAUGAGUAAUAUUUAGAGGCUGAUGUAAAAAGGAAAAUUUUCAGGCAUGUGAACAGAUCAAAUCAAUCCUCAAGGCCUUGGUUUUGUGAAGGAUAAUAAUUUUCAAGAGAAAGUCCACGGUCCUGAGGCCUUGUGUCGGGAAGGACGACCAUCAGACAACAGAAAUAAAUCCUUUGCAUAGAGAGUUUAUUUUAAAUUUCAACUUUCAGGUAAUGUAUAAGCUUCUGUAUACAAUUUAAAGGAGAGAAGAGAAAACAGAAUAUGUUAUGAUUUUUGUCAUUUAUCAAAGCAACAUCAUAUCCCCAAAAUUAAUCAAGGUCUUCACAAAGUUCCACAAGUUUCUAUACUUAUAAACGGGAUUUUAAUUCAUUGGUUUCUUUCUACGUUAGUGAUUAGUGAACUGAGUCAAACAGCCUCAAGAUGUACAAAUCACAUAGAUUAAUAGUUACUAACAGUUGACAGAUAACCCUCCGGUGUCAUUAAAGAUAUGGUUAUAAUGCAUCGAGAAAAUGGAAAAAAUAUCAAAACAAUAAAAUACACUAGAUUCUUUCAGUUUAGGAUAUAGUAAAGGCAUACUAGUUUUAGGAAACACACGCCACGAUUUGCAUGGCAUAUGGACUGUAACUCCACCGCAGCGGGCACGUCUGGAGCAAUGUUUAAAGCACGAUCAUACUCUGAUAUUGCCUCCUCAUAUUUUCCUUCUCCAAACAGUUUGUUGCCCGCCAACUUCGCAUUAUUUGCUUCAGCCAAGGCUUUCUGCCAGAUAUGUAAUGUGUGAAUUUACAUCCAUGCAACCAGAGAAGAAAUGUUCCAAGAAAAAUGAGCCCGCAUAAAGGACGAGCAUAUCAUGAAAAUUACAAAAUUUCAACAGCUUAGGUGACCAUUUACCAAGUAACUAAUUUCUAGAUAAAAGAGACCCAUUUCUCAUUACUACUGGGGGAAUCCACGAUAGAACUAUAAGAGGAUUGUGCCACUUGUAUUAUCACAAUCAACUAGGAAAAUCAAGAUCCUAAACAAAUUACAAACUGCCAACAGCUCCCUUAGCUCCAUAAAUUAUCCACAACUUAAAAUUCCCUAUAUUCCGAAUUUGUUUCAAAAGGGAUUUCCUUAUUGCACACGAAAGCAAAAAAUCAACGACCCCUGAUAUCUUAAUCGAACUCGAAGCGAUAUGGAGACUAAUCGUUUUCGCCCAUUCAUCAAUUCUCAUUCAAACAUUUCAAUUGGGAACCAAUAUUGCCAACAGAGUAAAUGACCCUAAAAUCAAUGAAGGAAAGAAAAAAAAGCACUACACGAAGUACUGUAAAGUUAAAACGGAUACCAGAACAAAAAUAAUCAAAACACUAAUGUCAAGGCAUACUAACCGAAGAAACCAAUAGUGCAAAUAAAACACAACGCAGAAAACAACAAUAAACAAAGUUCAAAGAAUGGGAAAAAGAAAAAACCUCCUUAAUCUCAUCUUCACUGAGCGUGGCAAUUCGUUCCUCCUGUUCUGAAUGUUGAUCAGGAUUCUCUUGACACUCGUCGGCACUAUCACCAAGCUCCCCAUCGCUGGCAGUCUCGUAACCAUCGGAAGGGUUUUUGCUAGCAUUGGACGUUGAAGGAACGCUGCUUGAAUCCGUCGUCGUUUUGACCGACGAAGAGGGCUUCGGAGGACUGGGAACUUCGUCGUGGGGUUCCUCCAUUUCUAUGCGAACCAUUUUUCUACAGAGAUCAACGGAAUUUCUGAGGAGAUUUGAAAUGAUUUGGUUCUGAGAAUUUGGGUUUUAGGGAGAGAAGAAGAAGAGAGAUUGUGUUUGUAUAUAGAAUUUGUUAGAAGGUGAAGAACGGACAUUUUGCUUCCAGAAGCCUCUUUGUAGAUUCUUUUGGGCUUUAGACAUUUUGGGCUCAUCUACGUCCAAAUAAUAUGAUUUUUUUUACAUUAACUAUCUUCGGACUUAUAACGAAAUAAGAAAAUUUGACGAACGUCGAUUAUCUUUUUCCAAAGUUUAGUAGUCAAUGUUAUCGUACAAAAUUAUUUCAUAUGUACGUGGUUUUCUAGAUUAAACUCACGACCUUUCGACUAACUUAUGAUGGCUUGUGACUUAAAUUCCUAUCGAUUAAAUUUUAAAAUAAAUAAUAAAUUAAAAGUUUAAACUCGAGUAGUGAAACUCAAUUAGUUAUAAUUGUUGUAAAUUAAUUAAUAGGUCCUACCCUUGAAAGGAAGAAGUAAGAUUUUAAAGUUAAAAGUGUAAAUUACGAAAAAUAUAAAAAAUAUUAUUUUUGAAACCUACGGUUAAACUUUGGGAUGUAGUUAUUAUUUUACAAAAAAUAUAGAUAUAAAAGAUCAUACACAUAAGUUGGUAACCUAAUUUGAUUAUAUCGUGCCUACAUUGGAAGGAGUGUGCUCGAGAAAGAUAAUCCAAUAACAUAAUUAAGUUAAGCAAUUAGAACAUUGUAUUUAUUUAUAGACGACAAAUGUUAGGGAGAGUCUAACUAACCUAAACACUUAGGCCUUUAAUUCUAUUACGAUAUUCCCUUCCUUUUGUUGUUAUGCUACUCUAAGCAUUUGGAUAUUACUCAAGUACAACUUAGACUCCAUCUCACUUGAAGUAGUUUUUUUUCUUACUCAUCUUGUAAACUCCCUUCACUUGAAAAACUUAAGCUCUUCCAAGCAUACAAACACUUCAUUGGCACAUGGAGAAACAUGUAUCGUUCCUGCAUUUUCUCUUCCUCUCUUCCUCUUCUCACUCGUAAAUUAAUAUCCUUUCUCUUGCCGUGGGAGUUGGUGUGUGGUUUUUGCCAAGGCUAGUUACAAAUGAGAUUUCUAGUAGAAGAAAGAUAAUUGAAGGAAGUAGAAAUGAAAAAAAAAAAGUUUCGUCGAAGUUGAUUUACUAGAAAAAUUGUGAUCUUCGAAGAGAAGAAGAAAAAAAAAUUAAUUAAUUAAAAUGCAACUUCGUAAUUUCACUCGUUCGUGAUAGGAUCGUAUCUAAAUUAAUAUCAAUAUUGUUUGAAGAGAGUGAGACAUUUUGAAUGGAAUAUAAAAAAUAGGUAGGCAAUGCAAUUAUUCCUAAAAGCUCUAUAUUGCAACAUAACUAAUACAAAAGUUGAUAUUUAAAACAUGCGAUAAAUGAAAAUGAAUAAUUCUUCCGUUAUUACAACUUUAUUAAGCAAUAGAAAUAAUUUUCAAAGGGUCAAUGUAGCUGAACUCAAUUACGCUUCUUCUUCACUCAUUCGGAGCUUCAACGUCCUUUCAAUUUCAUUCUUCCCUCUCAAAAUCGCCUCCUUCAUUAAUGGCAACUGAAGAACCUUCUUCCUCCUCGCCGCCCCUCCAUGGCGGCGCUGCUCUUAAUCCUCCUCCUCCUCCUCCUCCUUCCACUGACAUAGCAGCUUCAGCUUCUUCCGCUAUUGAUUUUCUCACUCUCUGUCACCGCCUCAAGGUAACUUUAAAUGCUGCCCACUCAAGCAAUUCUCACUCUAGUUUUAAGUUUCUAGAAAUGAUAGCAAAAGGGAUUAAGGAAAAUUUGUAACCAAAGUUAGUAGCGGAGUACUGGAAAUUUUGAGGGUUUAUAUUAAUGGAUUCAUCAUUAUCAAUCAUCUUUGAAUAAAUAUUUGUUGAGUUUUUUAUUUUUUAUUUUUUAUUUUUUUUUAAUUUCUAUAGUUGCCAAACAGGGGAUGAAGCUCAUUCCCAAUUUUCUGUUUAAAUGUUAGAGUAUGAAUUUCUCUUAUUCAUUAAUAGCCUUUUGACUCCCAAUAAACCAAACGGUAAUCUGGUUUAGUUUUUUUUUUACGUACGAGUGAUCCAUUCACAUGUGUCUUUAUUGAUGAAUCGCCCCCAUAAAUGUAUGAAAUUGGACCUUCUUCUUAAGCAUAACACACUGAAGUAUAGCAUCAGAGAUGGUCAUACAUAUCAUAGCCCAGUGCUUUCUAAAGCUCAAAUCGCAAUAAAGUGCAAUAGUCUUAUGGGGCUUACGCGCAAGGCACAAGAAAAGAAAAAAGGCUGGGUUUUUUUUGUGAGGUGCACUAUGUAUAAAGUUACCACAUUAAGAAGAGAAAGCAUAGUUGAAGUGAAAAUAUGGGGAAAAAAACAGAAGAAGAAAAAGACCUCUAACACAAGAAAUUUUGCAUCUAGGCUUAGUAAGUUUUAGUUUUUAAAAAACUUAAUAGAAGGAAAACUAAUUACUACUAUUUUCAAAAAUAAUGAACAAGCCCCAAGGGGAGGGCUUUGAGCCAUAGGGCUUCAACUUUUCAAGGUGGGGCACAAGACUUGAGCCUAGGCGCAAGGUCGAGAGGGCUUUUUAAAAUAUUAUUGUAGCUCUAACGUGAUGAUCAUCUCAAUCACAAUCUUUCAUUUUUCUAUUGUGUUUUCCCUAUUGUUUCAUAGUUUUUUGUGUUUUUGGGUGAGAAAAUGAAGAACACGAUAGGGACGACCAUUGACCCAUACCUCUUAAAACUGAAGUGAGGUAUUCAUGCUGGUGAUCUUACAGCCAACUAAUCUCGAUGAAGGGGCUCCACUACUGGCUUUUGCCUUUUCUUUGGUGACUCUCAACGAGAUUGGAAGAGCAAGAAAGAGAUUAUUUUGGUGCAAAAGCCAAGGGGCUCUUGCUGAUACUGCAUUAGAGAUUAUUUUGUUGGGAUGGCUACAACAAGAUACGGGAGUCACUUUUUCCGGGCCUACUAUUCUUAUUUGUGACAACAAGAGUGCUAUCCAAAUAGCACACAGUGAUGUGUUUCAUGAACGAACAAAACAUGUCGAAAUUGCGUUACUCACUUAAGGCACAUAUUAGAGCUACACUUGGCUAUCCCUAACACAAUACGCUAGUUUGUUGUGUUUUUCUCAUUUUUCUCACAGUAUGUUGCGUUUUCCCAUGAAUAUUGUGAAAAAAAUGAAAGCACAAUAGAAAUGGUAAUCACAUUAGAGCUACAAUAGACAUGGUCAUCUGCAACAUGUAACAAUGUGUUCGGAUGGGAUCAACAUGUAACACACGUUAUAAAAUAUAACAAUGUGUUCGGAUGUAAGUGGAAGGUUAGAUUUCAUCCGUUUGUUGGAGGCAGGUCAUUAAUCAUAAAGGUUCUUGUGAAAAGGUCAUCCGUACAAAAAUCUUAAUUUGGUUCGUGUUCUAUAUUUUACAGUUUUUUAGUGUUGUUUGACCAUGCUACUUUAUGUUAAUCUGAAUUAGACUACGAAAAGAACUGGAUGGGUUCAGAGGAGAGUCAAGGAUCCGGAAUCCAUAGCAGAUCAUAUGUACCGAAUGGGAAUAAUGGCACUCAUUAGUUCAGAUAUUCCGGGCGUUGAUAGAGACAAGUUUGCUAUUCCUAACCUUUCAUUAUUCAGCUCUUAUGAUAUGUUCAUUCUUCACCGUUUUUCAUUGUUUUUGCCCCUUGUAACGGUGUGUGGAAGGUGUUUUGAUUCUAUAUUUAUGUAUAUUUUCAGGUGUAUAAAAAUGGCCAUUGUACAUGACAUUGCCGAAGGUGAGAUAUACUUUAAUUGUCCCAUUCCGUUCGUUAUGUAAUAAUGUGAUUUGAACUUGCACUAAGCCUUACAAGAGACAGUGAUAACAUCUUUUGUCUGAUGUUGGGCUAUGACGAUAUCUAUAUUGUUGCUUGUAUGUUUUUCUGAAAUGAAUUCCAUGUUCUUGGGGUUCUAAUUUUCUUUAAAAUUCAGUUCUGAUUUCUUAUAGUUUGGCAAUUUCCCUAAAAGUGUAACAUUGAAAGACUAGACUGUUGGAAUGUUUUAGGUAUUCAAGUAGUCAACCUAUUGCCUUAAAAAGGAUGAGAAAUCAAUCUAUUUCAUGCUUCUGUAGGCAAUCAAACAGUCAACCAUAUUCAUCUUGGCUUGUUGGAAUGCUGUUAUUAAAUGAAAAUUUUCAUAAUGUGUAUAUCAUUUGAUCAGCAAUUGUUGGUGACAUUACCCCAUAUGAUGGGAUUUCAAAGUCGGAAAAGCUUAGACGUGAACAAGAAGCAUUAGACCACAUGUGCAAGUUACUUGGUGGUGGAUCAAGAGGUAUGCACAUCCAGUCAUAUAUUUUGAGUUUCAUUCCCAAUGGUCAAGAUAUAUUUUUCCUGCGUAUAUCAUUGUUUGGCUGUCAACACCAUUUUCUUUUUUAAAAAAAAUUGUGUGAAAAUUGCAGCCCAGGAAAUCAGUGAAUUGUGGAUGGACUAUGAAAAUAACAGUUCACCAGAAGCUAAAAUUGUGAAGGAUCUUGAUAAGGUAAUAAGCUAUCUAAGCUUAGCAAGUUAUGCAACUAAGCUCCAUGCUUAAUAUUUGCUCUGCUUGAUCCCAUUGAUGUUGUCUUUUUGUAAUUCUUUCAAACAAGCAUCUUGCACAUAUGCUAUAUGCGCAUAAACAAUAAUUUAGCACUUAUAAUCUCAAAUAUAUUUUCUAAAAACUGAAAUGUUAAGAUAAAUAAGUUGGACUAAGCCUUACAAGAGACAGUGAUAGCAUCUUUUGACUGAUGUUGGGUUGACAUCUUUCUAGCUGAUUGUUAUUGGGAUGUGAGAGUGGACAAUAAAGUUAUUGCAUAGUCUAUAAUGGAUCAAAAUGCAGCAGGUAGCUGUAGCAGUAGUCAGUUGAUGAAAAUUUGUGAGAAAAAUGGAGUAGAAUAAGAUAUUUUUAGCAUCGCAUUUGAGCAUUGUGGAAAUUUAUUUAACUAUUUGACCAGGGAGUGUAUGCGGUAAUUUUAUUUGGGAAUUAUGCUCGACUGCAAAGAAUUUUUUUGUUUUAUAUCCAUAUCGUUUAACCUAUAUUUACUUUUCAUGACUUUCUUCAGGUGGAGAUGAUUCUUCAAGCUUUAGAGUAUGAAAACGGUGAGUUUUCUUUUCCUGAUAUAUAUUUACAUAGUUUUUUUAAUUGUUAAACUUAUUUCUCAAAAGCCAAUGCUUUCUUUAAUGGCUAGCAUAUGUUAAAUUUGAAAGUUGGAGAGGAAGGAAGUGCAAGUUAUGCUAUGACAUUUAUACGGCGAAGUAACAACGGUUUGCUGAAGUCUUAAAAUCUUAUUGACAAGGGUCCAUGGUUAGAUUACAUCUUGCAUGUAUGUGAUACCUAAUCUAAACAUAAUUUAUUUAAGAUACUUCCUCGACUAUUGAAAGCUGGUUCAUGUUCAUAGCCAGUUCGUCUCAUAAAAUGCAUUCAUCAAGAAUAACAAGAACUAAGGAGAAAGGGUAGGUUUUGUUUCCCACAUUUGUGGAACUUCAAGAAUCUUAGCGAAGAUCAACAGGAAUGUUUGUCUUGUAGCAAUAAAUUUCUUUCUGUAUGUUGAGACAGCACGCUAGUACAUUUUUUUUCACAGAGACCAACUCCAAAGUCCGGUCUUUAAAUUAAUAAAGAUGGCAUUUUAAAAAAUAGGAGACUGACUAGCAUCACGCAUGAAAGGGUAACUUAUUCACAAGAUUCCAGCUCGAGCGAGGAAGAAAAACCUCAGCAUCAAAGAGAGGAACUAGUGGGCCAAGAUAGGCAACUAAAGAAACAACAAACUAACCAGCUAAUGUUGAUGCUUCUAAGAGAUUAAAGGACCUAGAAGCUUGACUUACACAGAAUUGUUCGAGCUCACUCAAUUCCGGAGAUCCCUUGGAAAUAUAGUUGGGAAGAUAACAAGAAAGAAGUAAGCAGAUUCGUCUUACCAGGUUAACAAGGCAAAGAGGUGGGAAGAGGAAUGAAUUGGUUGAUAGCCUAGAUCAGGAUAUGGAAACUAAGAAAGGUAUGCUAAACUCAAACAAAAAAUAAAUAAAUGAACACGUAAAUGAGUAUCAGAAAUAGGUUUGGGGGAAUAUUGCAAAGAAUACUUCAGUCUUGUCACGAUAUUUUUUGUUUCCUUCUGGGCUUGCACAUUUCUUAAAAUUAGUAUUUCUCCUAAAGCUUUCAAUAAUGUUAUUAGAUCAUUUUAUUCUUAAAUAGUUUUGUCUUAUUAUUAUUAUUCUUAUCUUUGACUACGCUAAAUACUACAACUGAUGAUGGUAAUCAAAAUUGUUUAUCUGCGUGCAGAGCAAGGAAAAGAUUUGGAUGAGUUUUUUCAGUCAACUGCAGGUACAUUUAUUUAUCUUCCGUUUUUUUUUCUUUGGUGUGUGUUUGGCAUGUCUUUUGAAAAAAAAGUGUAUUGAAGUGAAACGUUAAUCAUGUAAGCUCUUAGAGAAGAAAUUAAUGAAACUCUUGUUCUCUAAAACUACACCAGCUGCAUUUCAUUCAUUUUGAAGAAUACUCUUAUUUUAAGUCUCUGUUAGCACUUGGACAUGCCAAUCACACAUUUAUUCCAUAAAUCUUCACUCAGGAAAGUUUCAGACAGAACUGGGACGAGCUUGGGCAUCUGAAAUAGUAUCAAGGAGAAGUUCUGUCAAUGAUGGCGCAACACCUAAUAUUUCAGAGAAUUAAGAUACCAAUUCACAGCCAACAUUUGAGGUUACAGUUUGUUUAGCGACACAACUGCUUCUUCUAUUUAAUUUUCCAUUCUCAUUGAUCAUAUUAAGAAAAAUUUUCAAAACUCUCAUCCAUGAUCAUUGUAAGCAUUUUUUUUUUUUGUUGAAUUGCUAGAGAACAUAAUUCUUAAAUCAUGCUCAGAGGUCUACGCCUCUCUAAAUUAUGGUGUCAGUAAAGCCUACUCGUUGUUCAAGUUAUAUGUUGUGUUUUGUCAUUGUGUGGUGGGACUAUCGGAGAAAAUGGCACAUUAGCUUAAAUAGAGAAUGUCAUACACGUUUCUAAAUCCAAGCUUUUGAAACCCUCUGCUUAAUCUUAAUGCUUGAGGCCUAGGAUUUGGAUCACGAUUCUAAAUAUGAAUUUGGUCCCUAGGGGAUCUAGCAUUUGUCAUACAGAAAACAAGUUGGCUUCUUUUCCUUGGAAGGGAAGUCCUCAAAUCCUCUUCAUUCUAUGUCUCCUCUUUAGACACAAUCAUCAAGAGUUAGUAUGGAAGUUGUUAAGGGAAGAGGUAGAGAGCUGAUAAUAAUCUUUCUUAGAAGUAGCUCCUCACAUUCCCUACGACUUCGCUACAUCAACUACUUAUCUUUUGGUGCGUAGAGUAAAGAUCUCCCCAUAUCAAGCUAGGUUAUUUUAACUGGUUCUGCCCUUAUUCACUUCAUUCUUAGGAAAAUUCUGAAGAGGUCACCAACAUAGGAAUAGUUUGAAUCUUGGAUCUGAGGCGUUAGAUAAUCCACAUGCUUAAGAUACUUAAUCCACGUUUCAAACAUCUCCUAAGCAGUCUAGACACUUCAUGAGUUGGAUCAAAGGCAUCUCAUGGUAGUUGAACUAUAAUAGUGUGUAACAAGAAACAUUUGUUCAUGCUCAAUCAAAUUGGAAAAUAUAGUUCGAAUGCUAUGGUUUUAGUGCAAACUAAAGUCCUCAACUUCAAUAAUUGCAAGAUGCAAAGUCCAAAUUUGGUUAUCUAUCAUAAAGAUGGACGACUUCACCCAACUUAGUUUUUAUUUUAAAAAUUAAAUUCAAAUCAUCUUGGUUUGUUUUCUGCUACAACUUUACCCAAUAUGCUCAUUUGCAAAUUAGAUGAUAUUUGAGACAAUAUUAAAACAUAAAGCUAAAACAUCCUAUAUUUAGACACAAUGUAUGUUUUGUUAGUCUUUUAACUUUUAUUGGUUGCUAUAAAAAAAAAAUUGUUGCUUUGAUUUGGAAAAAAUACAUUUUUAGUUCCUAUAUUUUGGGUUUAGUUUUGUUUGUCCUCUAGGUUUCAAAACAGUUUAGUUUUUCUAAAAAAAAUUCAAAAGAAUUUUGUUUGUUCCUUAUUUAGUUUUUAAGUUUUGAGUUUUAUUGCCAUUUGAUUGUUAGAUUCUAAGAUUUUAACUAAAUGUUCACUUUUUUUUCCUUACUUUUAAUGCCUAUUAAUGAAUUUAAAUAGUGAAUUUCUUAGUCUUAAUGCCUAUUAACGAAUUUAAAAGAAUGUUAGUUAGUUAGGUUUCACUGUUUUUCAUUUACUAUUGAAAUUAAAGUUAAAUUUUUACUUCCUAAUUAUUUUUAAUUCAUUAAUAAGUAUUGACACGAAUGAUUGGAAGUGAGUAUUUCAUGGGAAAAAAAAAGCUUAAAAAUGCAAAUCUUGAAACAUAAUUAUAAAAAAGGUGAUCGUCUUUUUAAAAAAAUCCAACCUCGAAUCAACCAUAGUUGGUCCAGUAAAGUAUCAAACUGACCUCAACAUCCAUGAGUAAGGGUGGUCUGCUUAACACUUAGAAAUUUUUUAUUUGAAACUUUUUUAAACCAAUCUCAAAUCGAUCCCUCUUGAUCGACCGACUUCGGAUUGGUUGGUUGGUUGGUUUGAUUUUUCGAUCUAUCAUGCUCUUUCUAUCAAAUUAAAAUAAAACUUAAAUUUUAAGAGUAAUGAUAUAACAUUUUAAAACUUAGAAAUGAAGGUCAAAUCAAACUCAAAAUUUAAGGAGGAAGAGAGCAAUAAUGGUAACUUAACAUCUAAAUAGUAAUUGGAUUCAAAAGUUAGAAACAAAAUAUGUACUUUUCCAUCUAUGACAAUAUAUCCAAUAAAUUCUUCGAUAGCUUUUUUAAAGCAUUUUCUUAAGUAAGAUGUAUAACGUUGUACCUUUAGAGAUUUUAAGUCAAUUUAAAAUUGUGAAUUGUAGAAGAGAUUAAGUGUUAAGAUGAGAGUGACAUAAAUAAUAAUGCAAAUAAUUAUGGAGUUUGGUGAUAAUGCAUUCAAUAUUAGGGAUGUAAACUUUUAACAAUUUCUUUUAUAAUCACAGGCCAAUAAAUUUUGGUAAAUGUCACUUUACCUUAAACUAAAAUUGGAUGUGAUUUAUCUCUAAAAUUUUGAUAGGUAAUUAUCAACAAAUGAAAAGAUGCAUUUCUUCUUGCUUUAAAUACAUUAGAUUGUUUAUGUUUUAUUAAAACCCUUUUAACUUUAAUCAAUGUUUCUAUUUAUUUCUUAAUCUCAAGAUUAAAAUUGGUUAAGACGUAGUUUGAAAUGAUUAUACUUUUUAGAAUAAUUUAUGUUAAUUAUGCAUUUAUAGAAAAAUUACUUAUAGUAGCGAGUAAAUUAGUAUGGUCAAUGUUAGGAUGGGUUGGUUUCUAGUAUUUAACAAAUAUUAAUCGUCCAUUUGAUAACGUUUUCAUUUUCUGUUCGUUCUUUGUUUUUUCUUUUGUUAGAACAAGAAACAGAAAUAUGUUUGCUUAACUAUCUCUAGUUUUUGUUUUUGAAACUUGUUUGAUAACUGUUUCUUGUUUUUGGUACUUUUUCCACUUACAUAUUUUAUAGUUCGAAAUAUAAUCUAAUUAUAUAAAAUAAAAACAUAUAGUAUGCAUUAAAAUAUAAAAAAUAAUUAUCAAAUACAUAAACGGUCAAAUAUACUUAAGGUAUGAUGUAAAAUUAACCAAAUUCAAUUAAGUUAUUUGUUUUAAAUUUUAAAUUACGUGUAUAAAUGAAAAAAAUAUUAAAAUGAAUCUAAAUAAAUAGAUCAACUAACAAAAUUUAACUAUUAUAAAAUUAUAACUAGUUUUGUCUAUAAGAAAAAUAAAAGUAAUAAAUUUUAAAAAUAGGUUUUUUCAAAACAGACUAUUUACCCUCAAUAAAAUUAUAAAUAUUUUAUUUUUCACAAUUUUACUUUUUAAAACAAUGUAUAAAAUUUCAUAUUAUAAAAUUUAAAAUUUAAAUUUCAGAAAAUAUAAAAAGAUAUUUUAAAUAACAAAAUUGCUAAAAAUAUUUAUAAAUAAUAGCAAAAUAUCACGACACUCUAUAUUUUACUAUUAUUUUUAAGUAAUUUACUUCGUUUCUAAUGAUAAUUUUAAAUUUGAAAAGCCAAACAAUAUAUAAAUUUAAAAUUUUGAAAAUUCAAAAUUCAAAGUUCAAAAUUAAUUUUUUUAUAAACAAUCUAGUUCAUUUUUCUUUAUUUGAAUACAACCCAAAUGAAAAUUUGAAUUUGGAAAAUAAAAGAAAUUUAUAAAUCUAAAUAUUUUUAAUUAAAAAUUGAAAAAUAAAUUAAGAUAAUGAAAAAUAAUAAAUAAAAGAAAGUAAGAAUUCUAAAAUAAAUAUCGAAGAAGGAACGAAAAAGUUAUUAAACUGGUCUUUGUAUUAUUAUAUUUUAUAUAUAAUAACUAAAGAGGAAAUUUACAUUUAUUUUCUAUAAUUUAAAUUUUUUAAAGUAGUUUGUUUAAAAUGUGUAUUUUGUUUACUUUAAUUAAUUGGUAAGUAGAAUUAAGAGAAAUAGUUAUAUUUUUCAAUUUUUUUAUUUAAAAAAAAAACUAUAUCGUAAAGUAAAAGUUGUAUCAAAGAGUGAUGUGAUUUUUAUAAAUGUCAUCUAAAACUCAAUACAAAUUGUCAAAUUGUAUUUAAAAAUGGUACGAAAUAAAAGUGUGCUAUCAAUUGGUUGUAUGAAACGUGAAAAAGUCAGUCAUUUUUUUUCUAAAUCACUUUUAACCUCUCAUGGUUCACUCCAACCUCACCUAAAUCUAAAUUUGAAGUAUAGUUUUGAUUAACAUGGAGUGGAUCAAUCAAUUGUACCAAAGAAAAAAAAAAGGUUAUAUGAAUUGGUAAUGUUUCAUAAGACUUCUAUUCAUAAUCAUAUUAAUAUCAAAUUAUGAUAUGACUAAAUGAUAUAAUUCACUCCUUUGUCACAAGAGAUCCCAAUUAAAGUAUCGAUCAACUGUAAACCAAACGAGAAAUGUUUUAUUUAGCAAGUUAUGCUCGGAUUGACAACAACUAUAUUUUAGAAACAAAAAUAUUUGUAAACCAAACGAGAAAUGUUUGUUGAACUAUAAAAAAAUUCCUUAAAUACAAUUGAACUAAACACGAAAGAAUUUCUCAAUUCUACAAAUGAGUAGACUUGAUCAAACCCAUAUGAGAUAUAUUUUGAGCAGUACUACCAUUAUAUAGUAGCCUCGUGAGAAAUGUGGUUGAACACCUCCUUAGAAUCAUCACAUAAACGAAGAAUAUAGUCAAAUUGUAGAUAGCUAUGUAUGUGUGGAUUUGUAACAACCAAACUUAAGCUUACAUAAUUUACCUAUUCAAUAAUAAACGUUGUUCGUUUUUACAUGAAGAGUUUGUAAUUUAUCUUCAAAGAUUUGUAAUUACUUAUAAAUUCUCAUAUAUAUCUUUAGUUUUGAAGUUGAUAGUACAAAAUUUAUCUUCAUUGAGAUAUGCUCAUAUUAAUUGUUGCCUAUGUGUUUAUGAUGUGUUUGAUUAUUUAUAAUAGGAGUGGUCAUUGGUCAGUCAGAGUUGAUUUUUCGACCAAACCGACACGAACCAACUAUGAUCAAUUUAGUAAAUGUUCUAACCAAUGUCGACUAUAAAAAACGUACAGACUAACCGUUAGUCGGUCAAUCGAUAAAUGGUUUAGGUCAAUUUAAACCUUUGAAUAUUUUAAAAUGUUCUCAUUCCAAACCGACACGGCCGACUAAACCUCUCCUUAUCUCCAAAUGGUCACCUUCAAUUUGGUUGGGUUUUCAACUCGAUUUUUUUGUCUAUCAUAAUAAAUCACUCCAAUUUUAUAAAAGCUCUCUCUCUUUGUUCUUUAAUAAAGAGAGACUUUUAUUCGUAAGUUGUUAGGAUAACCUUAUCAUGAAAUCAAAUCAAGUGAAGCUAAGAAGAGAAUAGCCACUUCCCCUCCUUCAACUUAAAAGAGAGAAUGUUCAACAUCAACCAUCAUUAAUAAUAUUUGAAAAAGGGAAACAACAAACUUGAAAAUUCAAAGCUUCCCAAAAUUAAAUUAAUAUUUCAUUUAUAUCCAAAGUUGAAAUCGUUUGCAUUCAAAUUCUAUCCUAACCAUGGUAACGAUUUAAAUUUUAAAUUUUUACAACUGUGUCAAUUUAUAUCAUUUAAAUUUUAAAAGAGUUUAUGAAUUUAAUUAAUUAAUAAAAGAACGAUUUUAACAUGAUUUUUUUUGGAACAAAGUCUCUUUUUAAAAUAUUUUUUUAAUAGGUUAAAAUACUAUUUUUUUCUUCAUAUUAUAUUAAUUGAUAAUGUACAUUAUUCAUUGUACAAGAUUCUUCUCAAAAUUGUAAAAUUACUAUCUAAAUUUUCAAAUUUUAUUACAUAAAUCAACAAAAGAAAAACAAAACAUUAAAGAAAAUGUUAUUUAAAUUAACAAUUAUUUUGUUUAAGGCUUUUACAUCAUUUCUCUCUUUUUUUUUUCUUCUUUCAUUAAAAAAAGAAAGAAAAAGCUUUUCUCCAUUUUCCACACAAACUUCACUCAUUGGUUAUACAUAAUAAGAAAUUUUCUUUUUAUAAAUAAAAAAAAUACAAAUAUUGUUAUAAUUUUGAAUUUUAUUAAAAAAAAGUGAAAAAGAAAGUAAACAAAAACAAAAGCAAUAUUAAUAUUAAUAUGCCACGUCGGAAUUGGAAAUUAAAAGAAAACAAAGAAGUGGGCCCUAUUUUAUUUUGCAAACCGGCUCUUGCCGUUGCCCGUCACCAUUUUGUACUUUUUUUAAUUUACUAAAUUGCAAACAUAAAUUCCACUAAGUAUUCAUCUUCUUCAUGUUUGUGAAAAAAUGAAGACUUAGUUAACAAGGUGCCUUUAGAAACAAUUAAGAUUGAGAGAAUAAAGAUUGGUAAUUCAAUUCGACGAUACAAUAUUUAUAUUUAGAGGGUGCUUGACAUGUGAUAAGAGAUUAUAUAUUAUAUUGUGAUAUAAUUCAAUGAUUACAGAAUUAUGAGACAAACAGUACAAACAUAUAUACAUAUAGUCUCAACAUGUUGUACGUAGUGAUAACAUUUUACUAACAAAUGAAUAAGAACAUUCACUGAUGUUUGUCAUAGGAAGCAACAAAAGGAAACACUCCCUCUUAGUCAGACAUCAACAAUAUGUAAUCAAUCAAGCGUCACUUGAUCUUCAAUAAUCUCAAUUCGCUCUCCUGAUCAUUGAGUAGAAAACUUCAUUUAAUAUUUCCUUUUCACUCACCACGGAGUACCCGAACUUGUCUCUAACUUUUCUUUUCGAAAGCCUUUCUAUAAAGAGUAGAGUUCUGCCCGCUUGAGAGCAAAACAAGAAUCGAAUAAGAACUGAAAUCAACAGUCCAACAAAAUUGAAAACUAGGACUGAAUCUCAAUAAGGAUUGACAAAAAUAAUAACAAAAUAGAAAGUUUACUUUAGAUAAAUAGAAUUUUUUUAUUUAAAUUGAUAAAAUAGAAAAAUAAUUAAAGGAACAAUGUCUUAAAUGCCCUUACCUAACUAAAAAAAUUGAAGCAUAAAUACAAUUAUUCAAGAAACCACAAAUACUCCAUAAUUAAAAUCAAACUCGCUACACACAACUAACACCUAUCAAAAUCAAACUCAUAACACACAAUCAAACUCCUCCGCUACAAAUCCAUGACCAACGUUAGACGCCGUCAAAUGUUGCUUGAAAAAGCAUGUCCCCACUGACGUUGAAACUUAGUUAAGAUUUGCCAAAUUUGAAUGUUGCUUGCAAAAUACCAAGUGGAAUGAUAUUAUAUCUUGAUGACCAAAAGUUUUGUGUCCUAAAUCUGUUGUUUAUAACAUCAUUCAUAAUCGACAUAUACUAUGUUUGGAAAAUCUUGAUUAUAUUAGUUAUUAUAAAGCUUGGUUAGUUAAACAACUGUGAUUGUGAUUCAAUGAUAUUAAUAUUUGAACAUGUGAUCGUGAUAUAGAAUGAAUAGUUUAUCACAUUAUUUAAAAGCAUAAAAUUACAAUGUAAUUGUGUGUGCAACAUAUGUUAAACAUUUUGUCAAAUACUAUGAAACUAAUCUGGAAAGAAUAAUAUUGUCAUGUAGUAUGUACAAAUGCAUCGUAACUCUAUAGAAAAUCAAUGCAAUCAAACAUGACCAAUUUAACCAAUAAAUCGAUUUUAUUAAAUUAAGAAAUCGAAGUUUUUAAUGUAUUUCUUUCUUUCUCACGUUUUAUAAAACUAAUUUUUCUCAAAACAUGAAGGGAGACCUACAUCGUACCGCGAGUUUGUCCGCGACUUUUGGAUUUCGCACGACUGACUUGUUCACCAAAGCUAGAACAAGUGCAACACAAUCACAUGUCCCGUGUUUGAAAAUUUGCGAUUGUGACACUUAUGGCCCUCGAUUUAUAGAUGGUUGGACUUGGGAUCGGAGGAAAUGCUAUUUCAGGUCGACCAUAGCGACUAAAAUCAUGACUCAUAGAAUGGAGGAUUUCAUAGAAGAAAAGAAGCUCAACUCAACCUCGAGUUGAGGUCGAGCUAGACCAUUAGGCUCAAUGAAGAUACCCUUUCCUCACCCACAACUAGCUAGGCCAUUUGGCCCAACAUAAACACUUGCCUCAACCACAACUUCUCGAGGCAGAGUGGUAGACAAGUUGCAUGCACCAUUUCGUCGCCCAAUAUCUUUCAUUUCCAUAAAUUCUUCCUCUUCUCCCAUUGGCCUCACUUGGUUGUCAUUACUUCUUCAAUAUGAAAUUAACACUUCAUAGUAAUUAUAUAUUUGAUAAAGGGAUGAACUAUCAUUUCAAAAUUGGACCCUAUCAGCUUCAAAAGAAAUGAAAUCUUUGGUAAUAAAUAAUGGAGACCGUCCACCUAUAUACUUUUCGCAGGUUAUAUUAUAAGUAAAGAGUAAUGUAUUGGUGAGUGGCAGUACAUAAAUGUUCUGCUGAAAAUGGUGGAUGAAUUUUGAGACCAUUAUCUAAUUUUUUAACCUUAAAUAUUUGUACACUUCACGAGUAGUAUAAAUACAAGUAUGCCCUAGAUUGAAGUCACAACUAUAACAAAGAAGGAACAAGGAAAGAAAUGGAAGGAGCAUCCAAAGAAGACCCAAAGGAGAUGGGGAUGUACUCUCCUUCGAGGCUCUUUAAGAGGAAAAAGUGGGCAAAGUUUGAUAAAAACUUUGCCUUUUGCUUUCUUCUUUUCCAUCUACUUUCUAUUUUGGCACCAUUAUUCUAUUUUAGUUAGGAGUGUCUCUUGAUUUCUUUGGAAUUAACCAAUCUAACCGGUAUGACAAUUAGUAUUUCGUAUCAUAGAAAUCUUGCACAUCGAAACUUCGAACUUCCAAAAUGGCUCGAAUAUUCUCUUGCUUAUUAUUAUUUUACCAUAUUUGAAAAAAAUUCAAACAAAAAUUUUAUUAUUUAAAAUAAUUUUCUUAACAAUAAGCUAACUAGAAAAUUUGUUAUUAAAUUUAUUUAUUAAAAGCAAAUUAUAACCCUCAAAUUUCCCUAACUUUUUUAACAUACAAAAUCUACAAUAAUAUGUUCAACAUAAUUACUUCCGGCUAUGAACUCUCCUUUUUUUAAAAAAAAAAAAGUGAAAACGAAAAAAAAUAUAUUAUUUAUUAUUAAUUAUUUAGAAAACGAGAGAUGGCAUUCUUUUUCAAUUUUCGUCUCAAAAAUAUUUUUCUCCUCCCUCUCAUUUUCAACUUUAUUCAACCAAUCAACACCUUCCACGUUUCAGCUAACCCAAAUAGUUAUAUUUCAAAAGUGUCGGUGGGUGUAAAUGCGUUUCUUUCUUUAUUAUUAUUAUUAUUAAUUAAUUGUUAUUGUUUUGCUUAAUUUAAACUUCUUCUUAUAUUUUAUUAUGUAGAAAAUAAAAAAAAAAUUGUUUAAAUAUUAAGAGCGUGGCACAACACUCAUAAUUGAGUUGAAAUUUGAAAAUAUAAUAAUAAUCAUAAUCAUAAUCAUAAUUAAUAAGCUUCUCACAAUCUUAUUAUAAUUCAUUCAUUCAAGUCUAAUGUUUCUAAAAUAAAGAAAUAAAAAUAUUUGAAAUUAAAUGAAAGGACAAAUGAAUGAUGAAAAACUUGACAUCAUUUUCUCUUUUACGAAAAGCCACAUUGAUGGUUACUACUUUCAAGAGGGAAAAAUAAAGAGAUUAUGGGAAGGGAACAUAUGCUUCCAUAUCAAUAAACCUUUUUUCCUACACAACAAUUGAUUAAAGUUUGGAUGAUAGGAUGAAUUAAUUUCUUUCUUUCUUUUGCUUUUUUUUUUGUAUAUUUAUUAAUAAAUAGAAUAAAACAUUUAACAAUUUUUUUUACACACAAUAUUCUUUAUCUCUCUUGAUUUUUUUCCUUAAAUAUAAUGGAUAGAGACUAGAUUUAUAUACAAAGUAAAGAGUUUGAUUCACUGGAUGUGGUACUGGAGUACGACAUUUAUGGAGAAUGGAUAAGAUAAGGUAUAUAAAGAAGAAGUCUUUUUAAUCUAAUGGAUUUUAUUAGUUUCCUCGAAGGGACGAGACAUGUACGUAAGAAAAUUGAAGUGUUUGAACUAAUAUGGUUAGAGAAAAGUAACAUAUUGUGAUGUUAUAUUUUAAGAUUGAUGAUUUGAUAGUAUAGAAGUGAACUAAAGGCGGUAGUAUUUUCUUCUUUUGUUGGGGACAAGGGUGAUGACAAAUAUUGUCGAAAGUCAUUUGCUAUAAAUAGAAGUCGAUAUCGUAAUAAUUAGUUUGGCAUUAUACAUAUAUAAAAAAGUUGUAAAAAUUAGUAGGGGAAGAAAAAGUAGAAUUUGCACUAAGCUUUUUAAUUUACAAAAUUAUUCAUCUUAGGAAUUUGAAUGCUUACAUAGUGCAUAAGAAAACAAUGAGUUAGAAAUUGGGAGAAAAAUGGAUUUCUUUGAAAAACAAAAAGAUAAAUAUAUAUAUAAAUGUGAAACAAAACUAUCAAAACUUAAUCAUUUUUUCAUUGUCGAUAAAAAUGUUCCAAAGUUAGUUAAUGUAUUAAUCAAACUUAAAUUAGAAGAAAUUAGUUUUAUAUAAAAAUUCAAUCUUAUUUAUAAAAUUAAAAAAAGAAAAAGGUAGAGAGAGUGAGUGUCGGCGAAGGAAACAAAAUGUGAGAGCGUGUGGGGACCAGCAUUGCCAGUUGG
Molecule: long non-coding RNA, 20226 nt
Filed under: Cucumis sativus (cucumber)
Lineage: Eukaryota; Viridiplantae; Streptophyta; Magnoliopsida; Cucurbitales; Cucurbitaceae
Description: long non-coding RNA (CSAT_LNC000527)
Source: RNAcentral